Molecule: ribosomal RNA, 482 nt
Filed under: uncultured bacterium
Lineage: Bacteria
Description: partial 16S ribosomal RNA
Rfam family: Bacterial small subunit ribosomal RNA
Source: RNAcentral
AUUGAACGCUGGCGGCAUGCUUUACACAUGCAAGUCGAACGGUAACAGGCCGCAAGGUGCUGACGAGUGGCGGACGGGUGAGUAAUGCAUCGGAACGUGCCCAGUCGUGGGGGAUAACUACUCGAAAGAGUACCUAAUACCGCAUACGAUCUAUGGAUGAAAGCGGGGGACCGUAAGGCCUCGCGCGAUUGGAGCGGCCGAUGUCAGAUUAGGUAGUUGGUGGGGUAAAGGCUUACCAAGCCAACGAUCUGUAGCUGGUCUGAGAGGACAACCAGCCACACUGGGACUGAGACACGGCCCAGACUCCUACGGGAGGCAGCAGUGGGGAAUUUUGGACAAUGGGCGCAAGCCUGAUCCAGCAAUGCCGCGUGCAGGAAGAAGGCCUUCGGGUUGUAAACUGCUUUUGUACGGAACGAAACGGCUCUGGUUAAUACCCGGGGCUAAUGACGGUACCGUAAGAAUAAGCACCGGCUAACUACGUG